RNAcentral lists this small RNA (149 nucleotides) under Chelonoidis abingdonii (Abingdon island giant tortoise). Its description in RNAcentral is "TUC338 (ENSCABG00000006094.1)". Lineage: Eukaryota; Metazoa; Chordata; Testudines; Testudinidae. The record is from RNAcentral.
CUGGCAGGUUUCAAAGGUUAAGUCCUCUAUUUAUCCACAGAACAGGAACAGUACUGACACUACCAGUGCAGGUUUCUAAUGCACCAAUGUGCCUCCAACCUGACCUGAAGAAACCCGAAACUUCCAAGCCCAUUUAAUACUUGACUUCU